Molecule: ribosomal RNA, 252 nt
Filed under: uncultured bacterium
Lineage: Bacteria
Description: partial 16S ribosomal RNA
Rfam family: Bacterial small subunit ribosomal RNA
Source: RNAcentral
UACGUAGGUCCCGAGCGUUGUCCGGAUUUAUUGGGCGUAAAACGAACGCAGGUGGUUUAUUAAGUCUGGUGUAAAAGGCAGUGGCUCAACCAUUGUAUGCAUUGGAAACUGGUAGACUUGAGUGCAGGAGAGGAGAGUGGAAUUCCAUGUGUAGCGGUGAAAUGCGUAGAUAUAUGGAGGAACACCGGUGGCGAAAGCGGCUCUCUGGCCUGUAACUGACACUGAGGCUCGAAAGCGUGGGGAGCAAACAGG